This is a small nucleolar RNA of Lepisosteus oculatus (spotted gar), 139 nucleotides long. The record is from Ensembl. Lineage: Eukaryota; Metazoa; Chordata; Actinopteri; Semionotiformes; Lepisosteidae.
AAGCAUUCUUAUAAACCCCCUGGCAGCACUGAUCUCACCUGCUGGGACAAGAAAGGAUGCGAUAGCAAGAGAGCUGGGUUUCAUCCAAAGCCAAGGGCCUUUUCCCGUGACCCUUCGCUAUUUCAAAUCCCAGACAUUA